Molecule: non-coding RNA, 3482 nt
Organism: Cherax quadricarinatus
Lineage: Eukaryota; Metazoa; Arthropoda; Malacostraca; Decapoda; Parastacidae
Source: RefSeq, a predicted model, not a curated record
UCCCGCCUCAACUGGUCCUCAGCCAUCUAAAUCAAGGUAUUUCCCGCCUCAACUGGUCCUCAGCCAUCUAAAUCAAGGUAUUACCCACCUCAGCCAUCUAAAUCAAGGUAUUACCCACCUCAGCCAUCUAAAUCAAGGUAUUACCCACCUCAGCCAUCUGAAUCAAGGUAUUACCCACCUCAGCCAUCUGAAUCAAGGUAUUACCCACCAAGUACCACGUUACUCCCCACAUACUACACUAUCACUACGUCUCCACCUGCAGUAGCCGGGCAGCCGCCGCCGCCACCAUCACUACCUGCAGCAGAUGUCACCAUCACCUGCAGCAGCCGUCACCACCACCACCUGCAGCAGCCGUCACCGACACCUGCAGCAGCACCGCAGUUGCUACCAUGACCCUAGACACCAACUCCUCCACCAUCUUUACAAGGCAAUGAGGCAGAACCACACAACAGCUCUACAUCCUUUGUAAAAUCAGGGAGGCCAAAUUACUAGAAGCUCGUAAUCUGAACUCUUUUUCAAGACACAUUCUGAUGAAGACUAGAACUAGCAGCUCUUGUCAUGAUGCAGGUAUUUAGUAACAGGAUUAUUAAGAGUCGUGGUGGAAAGAGUGACGACUUCAUAUAAUAGCCGUAGCCGAAGAAUCGAAGACCUCACAUAAUGGUCGUAAUAGCACCAGCAGCACCACCUGCGAGUCUCAUGCAUGGCUGUCUUCAUGCAUCACCCACUCCUCUCUGUGCUGAGCUCCAGGGUGGGUGCCCCCUCCCUCCUCUUCACCAGUCUUCUUACCGACUCUCUCUCAUUACUCUUCUCCAAAGCUAAGACAAGUUGUUCUCAUCGUUGCUAAAUAAAGAGUUUGGUUCAUGAACUGUCUAGCUGAGCGUUAGUGUUUAUGACUCUUAUAUUUAGUUAUUAGGAAGUAUACAGAACUUUUCCCAUUGUCUGCCAACUUAAUUUUGCUGAGGUAAAAUGAUAAUUUUUCUCACGAACUUGCAUUGCCUGUCGUCUAAACAGCUGCGUAUCUAAAUAAGUUUACCUUUGUAAAAUGAAAAUGAACCACCACCACUCAUUGGUUAACUCUUGUAAAACGAUAUUCACCGUAUGCAUUACGAGAGCGCUUGUACAAGAUUUGUUCAUGAACUCAACUGAAACACAUUAAAGAAUGAUCUUGUUUCAGUGUCUGUCCAAAUAGCCAAUAAAAAAGAAAACAAUUUCCCUUGGUGAGCCAUGUAGGUGGAUUCGUAUCCAUGUGCAAUUCACAUAAAAGGUUUGUUUUCAUGCUUUUCUUUUACAAACUGACAAAAUUUCUCUCUUCACAUUUUCUGAUUUUCUUCUGUUCGCCCAUUCGUUGAUGAGAUUUUAAUGUACGUUGAUUCCCCUGCAGAGCUAAGAGAACCUGGGGCACCAGUAGGAACAGCAGAGAUGGCGGAGGCAGCAGCUGCAACAGCAGAGAUGGCAAAGGCAGUAACAAUAAAGUCCGUAGGCAACAGCAAUGGUAGAGACAACCAGAUUAAGACUUCAAGAGCGACACAUGGCAAGCGCCAGGGUGGUCCUGGAAGGGCACUAUCCUUCCCUCUGCCUUCGAUGUCUCUGACGAUCACCACGGGAACUCCAUAUAGUAUUCUUAAAAGACUAAUUUUGUUGAAUUAACCGUCUUCGACUAGUUGUUAAAUUAGUUAUUUAGAAGUAACCAGCUUGAGAGAAAACUCAUAUUUAGAGGAAUAUCAUUGAGAAGACCGGAAUGUGAACACAUCGAUUAAUUAGAGCCUUCUUGAUUAGCGAAAAAAAGUAUUAAAUUUUAGUUUAUACAAUAUAUAUGCAUAUACUUUGCAAACACAGUGUAACUGAAAACAAAGUUUGUAUGGUCUGUAUCAGGAUGAACCCUAACUAGUGAAUGGUUAGUUCUGUUUUUUUUUUUACUCAAUGACUUGUAAAUAGGAAGUCAGGGCAGUUUUUGGAGGUUCUUGUAAAUAGGAAGUCAGGGAAGUUUUUGGAGGCUCUAUGUAGAAGGCAUCAAUGUAACAUUGGCUGUGUACGUUGUGCAAUUCUGCAUUAUGAGAUGCAGAGUACUGCAUUAAUGACUUUAAACAAUUGUUUUAGUUUUGUUGCAUAUUGUUCGAAAUUUAUAGUAUUGUAAACUGUUUAUUGUUGUUUUAUGGCGGCUGAGAGAUUUAUGAGAAUGUUUAUACCAUGUAUAUAUAAAUCAUGAGUUGAUUUACUAUACUGUUUAAAUUUUAUUAUGUUACAUGUAUACUAUAUGGUAUUUUAAAUAUAGGUGCUAUUAUUUGUGUAGUAACUGAUAAUACAAACAAUUGUUCCUAUAUAUCUAAUAUCUACAAAUUAUAUAUCACAUGCUGCAUAUAAAUGCACGAAACACGUUUUUAUAUAUGAUUCAUUUAUUCCACUGGCAUUUAAUCUCAGCGGAUUGGCUUUACAAUUUCCAACACUGAUGGCCGUGUUUGUUGCCACAUUGCGUGUUUCAGGUCUCUCCCACCAAACUAGGCUAAGCAACAGGGUAUAUUAUCACCCACACUUCCCUGUACCUAACACCAUAAAAACUAUGUAUGACAAACUAGGAUUUAACAAGUUAGAUAACAACGAAUAGUAAUCAGGAUAUUCCUACUUCAUACUGACACUAGUUGGACAGUAAUCUUGAAAAUAUUUCCUAGUUUUACGUACUGCAUUUUGUGUUGUUAUGAUAGACGUCUUUGAGUGAAAUCUUAGUGAUCUCCGAAAUUUGGCGUUGUUAUAUAAUUAUAAUGUUCAUAGUGGAAGUUUUGCAAUACUGCAUGACAAAUAAUUGCGUGCCUAUAUUGCCGCAAUUGAACAAUCAUAUAUAUUCCAAUUUUCCCUCCAUUUCAAGAUAUUGUAUUUCUUAAAGAAUCGAAGUCUGUUUUAAUUAAUUACCUACCUUGGACUAGUUGGUUAAAUCACUGUUCGCUUAUUAAAUAACGUGUACUAUUUUGUUAUAAUUAUAACGUAGCUGUCUCUUUCAUUUUAUACCAUAGUGAUUUUAGAAUCUUGAGACCGUGAAUAGGAGUUUAACCGACCAGUCUUCCAAGGGCGUGAAUGUGUUUUUCAGACUGUCUCGACUGUGACAAGAUCAACCAGUUUAGGCCUGAUACAAGCAAUAUACAUGUUUUGCGCAGAUUGGCGUAGAGUAAAUUAACCACAGUUUAGUUAUAAUUGAUGUGAUAAUCUCAGAGUCGAUACCAGUCUGAUGUUACCUGCCCGUUUUAGAAGGUAUGGAUGCAGCCUAGCAGACUUUUUAAUACAUAUAAAGUGUACAUAUCUAAUGCAAGAGUGGGACGUAGCGUGUCCUGGAGCAAGAUUUUUAAUAGUUAAUGGAAUAGUUACAUUUGUUUCAGUGUACAGCGCCACACGUCUUGCCCUUCAACGAAGCAUUUUUUUAAGUUAGAAGGAUUUAGCUAUGCGUCAUUCACUGUCGUAUGUUACAUGACAAUUUCAUUAUAUUGUCAAUUUGA